GUGGAGACUCCCACACAGAAGAGGAGACGGGAUAACGCGCCUGAAGUCACUCACGCAGCGAGGGUCAGCCCCGCAUUCCAGCGCAGGCCUUUGGCCUUCUGCAGCUGUGCUCUUACCUGCUUUACGUGCUGGCGAGGCACCCCUCGGGACAGGAGAAGGUGAAUGCCAGAGUUAACUCCACGUCGAGCCGGGAGAGUUGGCGGGUGACGCUCCGUCGAUGGCAUUGUUUGGGCCUAAAUCAUCCCUGCACGGUGUUUUAAAAGAACAAGGAAAGUCAGAUGAAGGUUCUCCACACGUUGUGAUUCCCCCCACAAAUGCUGGGUCUCCAAAGCAGAUCAUGUUGGCGAUGUCCCUUGGUUGAAACAAUAAGCCUGG
RNAcentral lists this long non-coding RNA (375 nucleotides) under Dasypus novemcinctus (nine-banded armadillo). RNAcentral describes it as "lncRNA (ENSDNOG00000052568.1)". Lineage: Eukaryota; Metazoa; Chordata; Mammalia; Cingulata; Dasypodidae. The record is from RNAcentral.